RNAcentral lists this ribosomal RNA (166 nucleotides) under uncultured bacterium. RNAcentral's name for it is "partial 16S rRNA". It matches the Rfam family "Bacterial small subunit ribosomal RNA", at positions 355 to 511 of the family's 1533-position model. The record is from RNAcentral.
UGGGGAAUAUUGGACAAUGGGGGGAACCCUGAUCCAGCCAUGCCGCGUGUGUGAAGAAGGCCUUAUGGUUGUAAAGCACUUUAAGCGAGGAGGAGGCUACUUUAGUUAAUACCUAGAGAUAGUGGACGUUACUCGCAGAAUAAAGCACCGGCUAACUCUGUGCCAG